RNAcentral lists this small RNA (28 nucleotides) under Bombyx mori (domestic silkworm). Its description in RNAcentral is "ovarian small RNA-16510". Lineage: Eukaryota; Metazoa; Arthropoda; Insecta; Lepidoptera; Bombycidae. The record is from RNAcentral.
GCAGUACCUAACCCGGCGCCUCCUUGCG